RNAcentral lists this ribosomal RNA (1064 nucleotides) under Apodemus flavicollis (Yellow-necked field mouse). RNAcentral's name for it is "partial 16S ribosomal RNA". It matches the Rfam family "Bacterial large subunit ribosomal RNA", at positions 916 to 2627 of the family's 2925-position model. The record is from RNAcentral. Lineage: Eukaryota; Metazoa; Chordata; Mammalia; Rodentia; Muridae.
ACCAAAAAUGAAUUUCAGUUCAAUUUUAAAUUUACUAGACAAACCUAAAAUUCUAAAGUAAAUUUAAAACUUAGCCAAAAGAGGGACAGCUCUUUAGGAAUGGAAAAAACCUUAAAUAGUGAAUAAACUAAUCAAAUUAAACAAACCAUUGUAGGCCUAAAAGCAGCCAUCAAUAAAGAAAGCGUUCAAGCUCAACAUUGUACCUUUAAUAAUUACAUAAGUAAAAAUAAAUUCCUAUACUAAAACUGGGUUAAUCUAUUAUCUUAUAGAUGAGAUACUGUUAAUAUGAGUAACAAGAAUUUUAUUCUCCUUGCACAAGUGUAUGACAACUCGGAUAUCCAUUGUCAAUUAUCAAAUUAUAGGUAAAAUUCAACAAAUAAACCUACCUAAAAAUUCAUUGUUAGCCCAACACAGGAGUGCUAUAAGGAAAGAUUAAAAAAGAUAAAAGGAACUCGGCAAACCAGAACCCCGCCUGUUUACCAAAAACAUCACCUCUAGAAUAUUAAAUAUUAGAGGCAUUGCCUGCCCAGUGACUAAAGUUUAACGGCCGCGGUAUCCUGACCGUGCAAAGGUAGCAUAAUCACUUGUUCCUUAAUUAGGGACUAGAAUGAAUGGCUAAACGAGGGUUCAACUGUCUCUUAUCUUCAAUCAGUGAAAUUGACCUUCCAGUGAAGAGGCUGGAAUUUUACAAUAAGACGAGAAGACCCUAUGGAGCUUUAAUUUUCCAGUUUAAUUAAGUCAAUAUAUCAAACCUACAUGGGACAACAAAUAAUAAUAUAAACUUAAAAUUUCGGUUGGGGUGACCUCGGAGAAAAAAGUAUCCUCCGAAUGAUUAUAACUUAGACCAACAAGUCAACGUACAUACUGAAUCUUAUUGACCCAAUUUUUGAUCAACGGACCAAGUUACCCUAGGGAUAACAGCGCAAUCCUACUUAAGAGUCCAUAUCGACAGUUAGGGUUUACGACCUCGAUGUUGGAUCAGGACAUCCCAAUGGUGCAGAAGCUAUUAAUGGUUCGUUUGUUCAACGAUUAAAGUCCUACGUGAUCUGAGUCAGACCGAUAUC